Molecule: ribosomal RNA, 429 nt
Filed under: Acidobacteriota bacterium
Lineage: Bacteria; Pseudomonadati; Acidobacteriota
Description: Acidobacteria bacterium partial 16S ribosomal RNA
Rfam family: Bacterial small subunit ribosomal RNA
Source: RNAcentral
UGGGGAAUUUUGGACAAUGGGGGAAACCCUGAUCCAGCCAUCCCGCGUGUGCGAUGAAGGCCUUCGGGUUGUAAAGCACUUUUGGCAGGAAAGAAACGUCAUGGGUUAAUACCCCGUGAAACUGACGGUACCUGCAGAAUAAGCACCGGCUAACUACGUGCCAGCAGCCGCGGUAAUACGUAGGGUGCAAGCGUUAAUCGGAAUUACUGGGCGUAAAGCGUGCGCAGGCGGUUCGGAAAGAAAGAUGUGAAAUCCCAGAGCUCAACUUUGGAACUGCAUUUUUAACUACCGGGCUAGAGUGUGUCAGAGGGAGGUGGAAUUCCGCGUGUAGCAGUAAAAUGCGUAGAUAUGCGGUGGAACACCGAUGGCAAAGGCAGCCUCCUGGGAUAACACUGACGCUCAUGCACGAAAGCGUGGGGAGCAAACAGG